RNAcentral lists this ribosomal RNA (433 nucleotides) under uncultured bacterium. Its description in RNAcentral is "partial 16S ribosomal RNA". It matches the Rfam family "Bacterial small subunit ribosomal RNA", at positions 29 to 507 of the family's 1533-position model. The record is from RNAcentral.
AACGAACGCUGGCGGCAGGCCUAACACAUGCAAGUCGAGCGAGGACUUCGGUUCUAGCGGCGGACGGGUGAGUAACGCGUGGGAAUGUGCCCUUCUCUACGGAAUAGCCCUGGGAAACUGGUAGUAAUACCGUAUACGCCCUUCUGGGGAAAGAUUUAUCGCGGAAGGAUCAGCCCGCGUUGGAUUAGGUAGUUGGUGGGGUAAUGGCCUACCAAGCCGACGAUCCAUAGCUGGUUUGAGAGGAUGAUCAGCCACACUGGGACUGAGACACGGCCCAGACUCCUACGGGAGGCAGCAGUGGGGAAUCUUGGGCAAUGGGGGCAAGCCUGAUGUAGCCAUGCCGCGUGAAUGAUGAAGGCCUUAGGGUUGUAAAGCUCUUUCAGCUGGGAAGAUAAUGACGGUACCAGCAGAAGAAGCCCCGGCUAACUCCGUG